AACGAACGCUGGCGGCAGGCUUAACACAUGCAAGUCGAGCGCAUCCUUCGGGGUGAGCGGCGGUCGGGUGGGUAACGCGUGGGAACGUGCCCUCUUCUACGGAAUAGCCGCGGGAAACUGAGAGUAAUGCCGUAUACGCCCGCAAGGGGUAAGAUUUAUCGGAGGAGGGUCGGCCCGGGUUGGAUUAGGUAGUUGGGGGGGUAACGGCCUACCAAGCCGACGAUCCAUAGCUGGUUUGAGAGGAUGAUCAGCCACACUGGGACUGCGACACGGCCCAGACUCCUACGGGAGGGAGCAGUGGGGAAUCUUGGACAAUGGAGGCAACCCUGGUCCCGCCAUGCCGCGUGAUAGAUGAAGGGCUUAGGGUUGUAAAGAUCUUUCAGCUGGGAAGAUAAUGACGGUACCAGCAGAAGAAGCCCCGGCUAACUACGUG
RNAcentral lists this ribosomal RNA (433 nucleotides) under uncultured bacterium. RNAcentral's name for it is "partial 16S ribosomal RNA". It matches the Rfam family "Bacterial small subunit ribosomal RNA", at positions 29 to 507 of the family's 1533-position model. The record is from RNAcentral.